GAUCAUGGCUCAGGACGAACGCUGGCGGCGUGCCUAACACAUGCAAGUCGAGCGGAGACAGUGAGUAGCUUGCUAUGAGCUGUUUUAGCGGCGGACGGGUGAGUAACGCGUGAGCAACCUUUCCCAGACAGGGGAAUAACACACCGAAAGGUGUACUAAUACCGCAUAAGACCACGGUUUCACAUGGAACUGAGGUAAAAGAUUUAUCGGUUUGGGGUGGGCUCGCGUCCGAUUAGGUAGUUGGUGAGGUAACGG
This 255-nucleotide ribosomal RNA is filed under the name uncultured bacterium. RNAcentral's name for it is "partial 16S ribosomal RNA". It matches the Rfam family "Bacterial small subunit ribosomal RNA", at positions 15 to 263 of the family's 1533-position model. The record is from RNAcentral.